This 577-nucleotide ribosomal RNA is filed under the name Selenomonas sp. oral taxon H66. RNAcentral describes it as "bacterial SSU rRNA". It matches the Rfam family "Bacterial small subunit ribosomal RNA", at positions 9 to 466 of the family's 1533-position model. The record is from RNAcentral. Lineage: Bacteria; Bacillati; Bacillota; Negativicutes; Selenomonadales; Selenomonadaceae.
GAGUUUGAUUCUGGCUCAGGACGAACGCUGGCGGCGUGCUUAACACAUGCAAGUCGAACGAAAUUAAAAAAUUAUCAUUGAGCUCUCCGAUGAGAUGGGAGCCAAGCGUCGUGACCGCGGAGCGGGCACCACGCGUUCAACAAGUGCAACACCAAGUCGAAGGGUUGAAUGGUAAUUUUUUAAUUUAGUGGCAAACGGGUGAGUAACACGUAGACAACCUGCCGACAGGAUGGGGACAACAUUCCGAAAGGAAUGCUAAUACCGAAUGAAGUCGAGGGAAGGCAUCUUCCUUCGAUGAAAGAUGGCCUCUAUUUAUAAGCUAUCACCUGUCGAUGGGUCUGCGUCUGAUUAGCUAGUUGGUGAGGUAACGGCUCACCAGGGCGACGAUCAGUAGCCGGUCUGAGAGGAUGAACGGCCACAUUGGGACUGAGACACGGCCCAGACUCCUACGGGAGGCAGCAGUGGGGAAUCUUCCGCAAUGGGCGCAAGCCUGACGGAGCAACGCCGCGUGAGUGAAGAAGGUCUUCGGAUCGUAAAGCUCUGUUGACGGGGACGAACGUGCGGAGUGCGAAUAGUG